GAUGAAGAACGCAGCGAAAUGCGAUAAGUAGUGUGAAUUGCAGAAUUCAGUGAAUCAUCGAAUCUUUGAACGCACAUUGCGCCUCCUGGUAUUCCGGGAGGCAUGCCUGUUCGAGCGUCAUUAAAAUCACUCAAGCUUAGGUUUACCUAUUGCUUGGUCUUGGAGAUGGAAGCCAAUUUAUUGGAAUCCUCUUCGAAAUUCAAUGGCGAAGACCCUUGCUCUCCCAAGUGUAGUAACAACUUAUGUCACUGAAGGAAGCGAGAAAUCUUCUGCCGUAACCCCCAUAUUUUCUAUGAUUGACCUCGGAUCAGGUAGGGAUACCCGCUGAACUUAAGCAUAUCAAUAAGCGGAGGA
This 354-nucleotide unclassified non-coding RNA is filed under the name soil metagenome. RNAcentral's name for it is "partial contains 5.8S ribosomal RNA, internal transcribed spacer 2, and large subunit ribosomal RNA". The stretch from base 1 to 120 matches the Rfam family "5.8S ribosomal RNA", at positions 35 to 154 of the family's 154-position model. The record is from RNAcentral.